RNAcentral lists this ribosomal RNA (209 nucleotides) under uncultured Leptolinea sp. RNAcentral's name for it is "partial 16S ribosomal RNA". It matches the Rfam family "Bacterial small subunit ribosomal RNA", at positions 1174 to 1382 of the family's 1533-position model. The record is from RNAcentral. Lineage: Bacteria; Bacillati; Chloroflexota; Anaerolineae; Anaerolineales; Anaerolineaceae.
UGGGGAUGAUGUCAAGUCAGCAUGGCCUUUAUAUCCUGGGCUACACACACGCUACAAUGGCCAACACAAUAGGUUGCUAAGCCGCGAGGUGGCGCCAAUCCAUAAAGUUGGUCUCAGUUCAGAUUGUAGGCUGCAACCCGCCUGCAUGAAGAUGGAGUUGCUAGUAACCGCAGGUCAGCUAUACUGCGGUGAAUACGUUCCCGGGGCUU